RNAcentral lists this ribosomal RNA (2899 nucleotides) under Klebsiella pneumoniae. Its description in RNAcentral is "bacterial LSU rRNA". It matches the Rfam family "Bacterial large subunit ribosomal RNA". The record is from RNAcentral. Lineage: Bacteria; Pseudomonadati; Pseudomonadota; Gammaproteobacteria; Enterobacterales; Enterobacteriaceae.
UUAAGCGACUAAGCGUACACGGUGGAUGCCCUGGCAGUCAGAGGCGAUGAAGGACGUGCUAAUCUGCGAAAAGCGUCGGUAAGGUGAUAUGAACCGUUAUAACCGGCGAUGUCCGAAUGGGGAAACCCAGUGCAAUUCGUUGCACUAUCGUUAACUGAAUACAUAGGUUAACGAGGCGAACCGGGGGAACUGAAACAUCUAAGUACCCCGAGGAAAAGAAAUCAACCGAGAUUCCCCCAGUAGCGGCGAGCGAACGGGGAGCAGCCCAGAGUCUGAAUCAGCUUGUGUGUUAGUGGAACGGUCUGGAAAGUCCGACGGUACAGGGUGAUAGUCCCGUACACCAAAAUGCACAGGCUGUGAACUCGAAGAGUAGGGCGGGACACGUGGUAUCCUGUCUGAAUAUGGGGGGACCAUCCUCCAAGGCUAAAUACUCCUGACUGACCGAUAGUGAACCAGUACCGUGAGGGAAAGGCGAAAAGAACCCCGGCGAGGGGAGUGAAAAAGAACCUGAAACCGUGUACGUACAAGCAGUGGGAGCACCUUCGGGUGUGACUGCGUACCUUUUGUAUAAUGGGUCAGCGACUUAUAUUCUGUAGCAAGGUUAACCGUAUAGGGGAGCCGCAGGGAAACCGAGUCUUAACUGGGCGUUAAGUUGCAGGGUAUAGACCCGAAACCCGGUGAUCUAGCCAUGGGCAGGUUGAAGGUUGGGUAACACUAACUGGAGGACCGAACCGACUAAUGUUGAAAAAUUAGCGGAUGACUUGUGGCUGGGGGUGAAAGGCCAAUCAAACCGGGAGAUAGCUGGUUCUCCCCGAAAGCUAUUUAGGUAGCGCCUCGUGAAUUCAUCUUCGGGGGUAGAGCACUGUUUCGGCUAGGGGGUCAUCCCGACUUACCAACCCGAUGCAAACUACGAAUACCGAAGAAUGUUAUCACGGGAGACACACGGCGGGUGCUAACGUCCGUCGUGAAGAGGGAAACAACCCAGACCGCCAGCUAAGGUCCCAAAGUCAUGGUUAAGUGGGAAACGAUGUGGGAAGGCACAGACAGCCAGGAUGUUGGCUUAGAAGCAGCCAUCAUUUAAAGAAAGCGUAAUAGCUCACUGGUCGAGUCGGCCUGCGCGGAAGAUGUAACGGGGCUAAACCAUGCACCGAAGCUGCGGCAGCGACACUAUGUGUUGUUGGGUAGGGGAGCGUUCUGUAAGCCUGCGAAGGUGUGCUGUGAGGCAUGCUGGAGGUAUCAGAAGUGCGAAUGCUGACAUAAGUAACGAUAAAGCGGGUGAAAAGCCCGCUCGCCGGAAGACCAAGGGUUCCUGUCCAACGUUAAUCGGGGCAGGGUGAGUCGACCCCUAAGGCGAGGCCGAAAGGCGUAGUCGAUGGGAAACAGGUUAAUAUUCCUGUACUUGGUGUUACUGCGAAGGGGGACGGAGAAGGCUAUGUUAGCCGGGCGACGGUUGUCCCGGUUUAAGCAUGUAGGCUGGUUGUCCAGGCAAAUCCGGAUAAUCAAGGCUGAGGUGUGAUGACGAGGCACUACGGUGCUGAAGUAACAAAUGCCCUGCUUCCAGGAAAAGCCUCUAAGCAUCAGGUAACAUCAAAUCGUACCCCAAACCGACACAGGUGGUCAGGUAGAGAAUACCAAGGCGCUUGAGAGAACUCGGGUGAAGGAACUAGGCAAAAUGGUGCCGUAACUUCGGGAGAAGGCACGCUGGUGUGUAGGUGAAGCCCCUGCGGGUGGAGCUGAGACCAGUCGAAGAUACCAGCUGGCUGCAACUGUUUAUUAAAAACACAGCACUGUGCAAACACGAAAGUGGACGUAUACGGUGUGACGCCUGCCCGGUGCCGGAAGGUUAAUUGAUGGGGUUAUCCGUAAGGAGAAGCUCUUGAUCGAAGCCCCGGUAAACGGCGGCCGUAACUAUAACGGUCCUAAGGUAGCGAAAUUCCUUGUCGGGUAAGUUCCGACCUGCACGAAUGGCGUAAUGAUGGCCAGGCUGUCUCCACCCGAGACUCAGUGAAAUUGAACUCGCUGUGAAGAUGCAGUGUACCCGCGGCAAGACGGAAAGACCCCGUGAACCUUUACUAUAGCUUGACACUGAACAUUGAGCCUUGAUGUGUAGGAUAGGUGGGAGGCUUUGAAGCGUGGACGCCAGUCUGCGUGGAGCCAACCUUGAAAUACCACCCUUUAAUGUUUGAUGUUCUAACGUUGGCCCCUUACCGGGGUUGCGGACAGUGUCUGGUGGGUAGUUUGACUGGGGCGGUCUCCUCCCAAAGCGUAACGGAGGAGCACGAAGGUUAGCUAAUCCUGGUCGGACAUCAGGAGGUUAGUGCAAUGGCAUAAGCUAGCUUGACUGCGAGCGUGACGGCGCGAGCAGGUGCGAAAGCAGGUCAUAGUGAUCCGGUGGUUCUGAAUGGAAGGGCCAUCGCUCAACGGAUAAAAGGUACUCCGGGGAUAACAGGCUGAUACCGCCCAAGAGUUCAUAUCGACGGCGGUGUUUGGCACCUCGAUGUCGGCUCAUCACAUCCUGGGGCUGAAGUAGGUCCCAAGGGUAUGGCUGUUCGCCAUUUAAAGUGGUACGCGAGCUGGGUUUAGAACGUCGUGAGACAGUUCGGUCCCUAUCUGCCGUGGGCGCUGGAGAAUUGAGGGGGGCUGCUCCUAGUACGAGAGGACCGGAGUGGACGCAUCACUGGUGUUCGGGUUGUCAUGCCAAUGGCACUGCCCGGUAGCUAAAUGCGGAAGAGAUAAGUGCUGAAAGCAUCUAAGCACGAAACUUGCCCCGAGAUGAGUUCUCCCUGAGACUUUAAGUCUCCUGAAGGAACGUUGAAGACGACGACGUUGAUAGGCCGGGUGUGUAAGCGCAGCGAUGCGUUGAGCUAACCGGUACUAAUGAACCGUGAGGCUUAACCUU